GGGGCACUGAUUGCUUAUUGCACCACAUGUGUUUUUCUUUGAAACAAACUUGCUUUGGCGGUGGGCCCAGCCUGCCGCCAGAGGUCUAAACUUACAACCAAUUUUUUAUCAACUUGUCACACCAGAUUAUUACUUAAUAGUCAAAACUUUCAACAACGGAUCUCUUGGUUCUCGCAUCGAUGAAGAACGCAGCGAAAUGCGAUACGUAAUAUGAAUUGCAGAUAUUCGUGAAUCAUCGAAUCUUUGAACGCACAUUGCGCCCUCUGGUAUUCCGGAGGGCAUGCCUGUUUGAGCGUCGUUUCUCCCUCAAACCGCUGGGUUUGGUGUUGAGCAAUACGACUUGGGUUUGCUUGAAAGACGGUAGUGGUAAGGCGGGAUCGCUUUGACAAUGGCUUAGGUCUAACCAAAAACAUUGCUUGCGGCGGUAACGUCCACCACGUAUAUCUUCAAACUUUGACCUCAAAUCAGGUAGGACUACCCGCUGAACUUAAGCAUAUCAAUAAGCGGAGGAA
Molecule: ribosomal RNA, 512 nt
Filed under: Candida albicans
Lineage: Eukaryota; Fungi; Ascomycota; Pichiomycetes; Serinales; Debaryomycetaceae
Description: eukaryotic LSU rRNA
Rfam family: 5.8S ribosomal RNA (bases 145-298)
Source: RNAcentral